AUGAAAGACAUCCUGCGCGCUUAGUACAGAAAUUUGGUUAAUACCUUAUAGAUUACUUCAAAUUCCUGUGAAACUUUACUUAAAGUUCUGUCGAGUUUCCCAGUAGUCCAGUGACUUUACUUUAUAUGUUCUGAAGAAAUCUUGUGGAGUAGUUUUUCCACAUAAUUCCUUUUGACCCCUUUUAGAAGUCUUGUGAAUGUCUCCUCAAAUUUCUCGAAGGUGUUCUGCGAACUAUUUUUUAGCGGUACCUAUUUUACGACUGUUUAAAAGUUAAAAAAAAAAUAACAUUCACUGUAAGUUCUGGUAUUGUGAUCGUCUCUAAUAAUGUAAACCAUGAAUUGUCAGAAGAAUUAUCAGGCUCUACAACCAUUGAACACUUAUGUGAAUAUUCUUUACAAUUGUUAGGGUUAAUAGAUUUAAAAGACAAGGCUAUGCAAGGAAAAUGAACAUGUGGCUAAUGUGCCAAAACAUAUUUUUGACGGCUUUUUGAUCAGUAGAUAUUGAAAUAUUUAAACAAUUACAAUACCUCAUAAACAGCAAACGUUGAAUGUCUAACCAAUAUUGGUUUUGAUUGCAAUUCCACCGAGAGCAUUGCUUCCACCCGUCACUGCAACUUCCUAUAAGUAUCGAAAAGAAUACCUAAGAAAGCACACGACCAGAGAGUACUGAUAAGAGGAGUAGGUUACUACCGUGUAUUUAGUCACUAUCUCAAGUCUUGAGAGCAAAAAGUGUGGCCGAUCCGACGUCACUAUACUACGCGUAUCCAAUGUUUACUUCGAUAGAUAUGAUUACCGACGAUAGCGCGGAUUGGUUUGCGAUUCACACGGCAGCGCCUACUGAGUGGUGGCUGAUACAGCGCUGCACACGACUCUUUCACAGUCAUCAAACGCUUACUGCGAUUUUUCUUGUUGUUCAUGUCGGGUGAACACAGAGGAUAAUUCCUAUAAAAGUUAACACCUCGAUCGAGAAGGUAUCAUUUGGAAGAUUGAAACUAACCGAAUAGUUCAAACAAGUAAUUAGCGAUCUAUAAGCUCGUUCGUGAACCAUAUCCAAAGGAAAAUUACCAAUAUUAAAUCAAAAUGCCGUGCAAGUGUUGUAGUAAUGAUUGCAGAUGCACCGCUGAUUGCGGACAGGGCAAACCAUGCACUGCCGAAUGUAACUGCAACUGUGACUGCAAGAAGGAAACCGGCAAGGAUUGCUGCGAGUCAGGAUGCUGCAAAAAGUGAACCGCAUACACGUGUUGGACGAUAGGAGCAGCUAAAUUUGUGAUAGUGCGAAUUGAACAAUCGGUCAUAAUAAAAAUUU
Molecule: long non-coding RNA, 1305 nt
Organism: Ochlerotatus camptorhynchus
Lineage: Eukaryota; Metazoa; Arthropoda; Insecta; Diptera; Culicidae
Exons: 2
Source: RefSeq, a predicted model, not a curated record